Molecule: ribosomal RNA, 435 nt
Filed under: uncultured bacterium
Lineage: Bacteria
Description: partial 16S ribosomal RNA
Rfam family: Bacterial small subunit ribosomal RNA
Source: RNAcentral
AACGAACGCUGGCGGCAGGCUUAACACAUGCAAGUCGAACGCGUGCAGCAAUGCACGAGUGGCGCACGGGUGAGUAACGAGUGGAUAUCUGCCUUUUGGUUCGGAAUAACCCCGGGAAACUGGGGCUAAUACCGGAUGGUUCCUACGGGAUAAAGAUUUAUCGCCAAAAGAUGAGUCCGCGUCCGAUUAGCUAGUUGGUGAGGUAAUGGCUCACCAAGGCGACGAUCGGUAGCUGGUCUGAGAGGACGAUCAGCCACACUGGGACUGAGACACGGCCCAGACUCCUACGGGAAGCAGCAGUGGGGAAUAUUGGACAAUGGGGGCAACCCUGAUCCAGCCAUGCCGCGUGAGUGAUGAAGGCCUUCGGGUUGUAAAGCUCUUUUGGCGGGGACGAUGAUGACGGUACCCGCAGAAUAAGCCCCGGCUAACUUCGUG